Long non-coding RNA from Gallus gallus (chicken), 3020 nucleotides. RefSeq annotates it as zinc finger protein 532-like. The transcript has 2 exons. The record is from RefSeq and is a predicted model, not a curated record. Lineage: Eukaryota; Metazoa; Chordata; Aves; Galliformes; Phasianidae.
GUGCGGUACAAGGCACUGCCUGUCUCAGGGCUUUGUGAGUGUUAGGUCCUGACAAACUGUAACUGCCUUUACAAUCAGGACAGGGUUUUAAGCUACUGCAUGUUGAAUAUCAGUUACUUCAGCUAUAAAGCAAGCCAACACUCAGCUGCAUGUGUGUAGGAUUGAAAGUAGUGCUUUUAAAUGUGACUGGAAGAAAUACUUGGUGGAUAGCAACAAAAACUAAUAGAUAAUUUUGUUAAUUUUAUUUAAUAUGUUAUUUUCUCAGAGACCUAAGUCUGAAAUCUGGAUAGUUUUUGCACUUUUGUGAACAGAUCAGUGUCUUUUGGCUGACAUAGAAAAUACAAAUAUUAAGCUCUGAAUGUUUUUAGAUAAAAAAUUUUAUAUAUAUAAAAGUUGACAGACAUGUCAGAUUGUUUAUAGCAGGCUGAUGUUCUCCUGUCAGGAGAAACUGUAUCAGUGAGUGCUGCAUGGCUCAGGGCAGCGGUCAUUAGAAGGCUGUGCAGCAGCAGCUUGAGGGUUCUCUGGUGUUUGCAGGUUGGUGAGCAGUCAGCUCUGAUGUUUCCUCACUUUUGGAGGAAGUUGGAGAUGCAGACAGCAUUAUAAGAGAUAGGUCUUAAGGGAUAAAAGUAUUUGGUACCCCAGAGUUAGGGAAUGUGUGCAGUUGGUACUGGCUCUAUGUUCACCAGCAGAUUCCCUACAGAACUGCAGUACUUACCAGCUGGCAGUAAAAGCACUACCUCAGGUUACCUUGAGCUGUUGUGCUGGGAUAGGAGCAAGGUGCUAGAGGAGCGUGCUCAGCAGCUGUGUGCAGAAGCCAAGGGUGGGGAUCCACUGGUGAAUCCUUUGGCUCUUCCUUAGAGCUUCAGCAGUGCAUCCUGUAGAGCAUUGUCUGUAAUAGCACUGUGCCUGGACAGAGUUCUUCUGCAUACACAUCAGCUGAUCUGCCUGGGCAGUGAUCCAUCAACUCAUUUUCCAGGAAUGGUCUCUUACAAUCUCAGUUAAAACUGUUAGUAGGAUAUGUAGGAUCUACAUGGAUGGGAGGUGUGUGAGGUGAAACAGCAUUUUAGAAAUCUGUUUGUUUUUUCCCCUACCACUUAACAUCAAGAAGCAUUCCUUAUUUCUGGCAAGCUCUUUAACACCUAUCUUACAGGAAUUAUCCAAGCAGUCAGGAUUCUGAGGAGUAGACAUCAGCAGUAAUAUGGCAAACUAGAAUACAAGUUCUGAAUGAUGUUUGAGAAACAUUUGUGCAUGGCAGUGAGGAGCAGCGGGGCUCUCAUUUCUGAGCCCUGGUGAUUACUGGGUACAGCUAGCAGCACUGUUCUGUGCUGCCCAGAGCAGGCAACCACUGUGAAGGGUCACUGCAGAAAGCAAUGAGUAUAGGUCCUAAGGGGAUGCAAUGCAAAUAACAGAUAUAUUGGCAUACGUGAGAAGCAGCAAAAGAAAAACAGCCACAAGAAAGAGAUAACUUGAUAGAGCACAGAAAUAAUUUUUUCACAGGUCAUGUGAAUAACUGUAGUGUUUUUCAUUAUUUCAAAUAUCUGGACUCACUGAAUGGCUCAGACUUUGAAGUCCUUGUUUUUGUUGUCUCAGAGCACAGUGCAGAGUGGUCUCCUUUGGACAAUGUGCUGUUGGUGAAAACUGCCUGGAGGGUAAUUUAUGUGGGUAAUGAGAAAACAUAGCGUGCUAAAAAACAAGGUUUGGGGUUGAUGUUUUUUUUAAUAGAAAGCCACUCUCUAGGAUAGACAUCAGUGUCAGGUUGGUGGGGUUGGGAAGGCUGUGGCCAUCCUUGCACUCAGUUCCUGUACCUGGCUUCCCUUUGUUUUAUCUGCAGUUUCUCAGAAGUACUACUACAGAUGGCCAAUGGAUCAUGUUUCUUUCUCAUCUGAUGAUCUAUUGCAAAUUUGUGUUACUUUUCUUUCACAUUUCCUUUCAUUUAUUUUCAAAGUAAAAAGAAAUGCAUAUGCCUUGAGAGGGGAAGUUGUGGUUUUGGUGGUGUCUGUGCAUUGCAUUGAUAGAUGGACUCUUAAAGGCUUGUAAUGGCAAACCAGGGAACUAUCAUCCUGGGAAGUUUCAGAGCAUUAACAGGUUCCAGACCUGGCAUUCAGGAGGCUCAAAGCCAUAUACAUUGAUAAAAAUAAGUGUACCUUGGAGUACAUUACUGGUUAUGAUCAAAUCAGUGACUCCACAAAAAACACAUUGCCUUUGCAACCUGAAAGAGGUAUAUUCUUUGUCCUUCAGUUCCUGAACUCAUGCAAUAACUGAAAACAUUUUGCUUUCAGAGUGUCAUAAGCAGAAGUUGAUGCUACAUAUGUAACAGGUAUAUGCUGUUUUCUGGCUUAUUUUUAUUUUCUAUUUUUCUACUGCUGCUUUAUUUUUACUUUGGAGGAUAUUUUAAAUUAGUUGCAUUUUACCCUUUUUCAGGAUGUGUGAAAUAAUUGCCUAAAUGUCAGAUCUUGUCUCUGCUGAGAAAAAAGUUAACAUUAUGAUUCUUGCAGGUAGAUCACCAACAUGACUGACACUGUUUAUUGUACUUCUGUUUUUAGAAUAAUAUAUAAAUGCUCUAUGUGUGAUACUGUGUUUACUCUACAACCUCUGCUCUAUCGCCACUUCGAUCAGCACAUUGAAAACCAGAAAGUGUCUGUUUUCAAGUGUCCAGACUGUUCUCUUUUGUAUGCACAGAAACAGCUUAUGAUGGAUCAUAUCAAGUCUAUGCAUGGAACUUUGAAAAGCGUGGAAGGGCCACCAAACCUGGGAAUAAAUUUGCCUCUGAGUACGAAAUCCACAAAUCAGAACUCAGCCAGUCACAACAGAGAGGACACAAGAUCUGUCAACAGAACAGAAAAGUUAAAGAGGAAAUCUCCUAUAAAGAAAGGAGAACCUAAAAAAGUCACAAGUCAUGGCUGGACAUGUUGGGAUUGUGAUAGGUUCUUCACUCAGAGAGACGUUUACAUCUCCCACAUGAGGAAGGAACAUGGAAAGGUAAAUGAAUAUUUAAUUAAAAAUAUGAGUUAAGCCUGGAA